CCUACGGGGGGCAGCAGUGGGGAAUAUUGGGCAAUGGGCGCAAGCCUGACCCAGCAACGCCGCGUGAAGGAAGAAGGCUUUCGGGUUGUGAACUUCUUUUAAGAGGGAAGAGCAGAAGACGGUACCUCUUGAAUAAGCCACGGCUAACAACGUGCCAGCAGCCCCGGUAAUACGGAGGUGGCAAGCGGUGUCCGGAGUUACGGGGUGGAAAGGGCGUGCAGUCGGGAAUCAAAGUCAGCUGUGAAAUCCCGCGGCUCAACCGUGGAACUGCAUUUGAAACUGGUUUUCUUGAGUACCGGAGAGGUCACCGGAAUUCCUUGUGUAGCGGUGAAAUGCGUAGAUAUAAGGAAGAACACCAGUGGCGAAGGCGGAUGACUGGACGGCAACUGACGCUGAGGCGCGAAAGCGUGGGGAGCAAACAGGAUUAGAUACCCUUGUAGUC
RNAcentral lists this ribosomal RNA (442 nucleotides) under uncultured bacterium. RNAcentral's name for it is "partial 16S ribosomal RNA". It matches the Rfam family "Bacterial small subunit ribosomal RNA", at positions 338 to 795 of the family's 1533-position model. The record is from RNAcentral.